Molecule: ribosomal RNA, 297 nt
Filed under: uncultured bacterium
Lineage: Bacteria
Description: partial 16S ribosomal RNA
Rfam family: Bacterial small subunit ribosomal RNA
Source: RNAcentral
CACCUACGGGGGGCAGCAGUAGGGAAUCUUCCACAAUGGGCGAAAGCCUGAUGCAGCAACGCCGCGUGAAGGAAGACGGUUUUCGGAUUGUAAACUUCUGUUCUUAGUGAAGAAGAAUGACGGUAGCUAAGGAGCAAGCCACGGCUAACUACGUGCCAGCAGCCGCAGUAAUACGGAGGGUGCGAGCGUUAAUCGGAAUUACUGGGCGUAAAGCGCUCGUAGGCGGUAUGUCGAGUCAAGGGUGAAAUCCCCGCGCUCAACGUGGGAACUGCCUUUGAAACUGGCAAACUGGAGUGU